Molecule: long non-coding RNA, 709 nt
Filed under: Physcomitrium patens
Lineage: Eukaryota; Viridiplantae; Streptophyta; Bryopsida; Funariales; Funariaceae
Description: long non-coding RNA (PPAT_LNC013455)
Source: RNAcentral
UACACAUACAUAUAUAUUUUCCAUACACAAUGGCAGUCAUUCAUGUAAAUGAUAUUUUUUUUGGGAAGAAUUUUUGUAAUUUAAAAAAUUUACUCAUUAUUUUUUUCUCAAACAUAGAUGUUUUAUUAACAAGGAUUCAUUAUUAAUUAUUUAUUUUUACAAGAAAUAAAAUAUAGAUUGGCUAAAUUUUAAUCUUUUUUAGUUUUUUUAAUAUUUAAAUUAAAAUUAAUUUAUUAAAAAUAUUGUAAUUUUCUUUUUAAAAUAUUUUACAAAUUAUUAAAUAUUUCUACAAGCAUUAUAUAUCUAGGUAGUUUUACAACUAAAAAAAAUGAAAUAAUCAUAAUAGUGUGGUCAUAAAAAACCACCACUAAAAUGAGUCUUUAUUAUAUAUAAUAGUAAAUACCACAUAUGAAAUAUCAUCAAAUCAAAUCAAAUCCUUAUACAAAGCACCAAAUUUUGCAUCCAUACUUUUAAUAAAAAUCUAAAUCUUUAAAGAACAAUUCUAAAUUUUGGUCAACAUUGUAUCCUUUCUUAUCUAAUGCAUUACUAUUAUCUUCUUUUGUAAUCAUAUAUUGGCAAUUUUUGCACUCACUUUUGGUAACUCUGGUAAAAAAUAUGUUGAAAUCACCACACUUUGGACAUGCUUCUUUGUACAACUUAGAUAGUCUCACUCAUGUAUGCUUCUUUUGAACAACUUCUUGUCUUUGUU